This 2654-nucleotide long non-coding RNA is filed under the name Sus scrofa (pig). RNAcentral's name for it is "lncRNA (ENSSSCG00070018236.1)". The record is from RNAcentral. Lineage: Eukaryota; Metazoa; Chordata; Mammalia; Artiodactyla; Suidae.
CUGGGCCCCGUUCCUUGAUCCUGUGUGGGAGGCUCUGGUGAGAAAGAGAGCUGGUAACGGGGGGUGGGGGUGAGGGGACACAUCAGAGAUUGGGGGCGCGGCGCGGGGACUCCAACUUGCAGAGGGAGGGGUGGACACUCAACAAAGACCUGGGUCCUGUUGUUUUAAAUAAGAAAUUUAUUGCAAAUAUAGAAAUUGAUUCUCUCCAUACAGGAAUCUCCAAGUUGAGGAAAACAAUUUCGUGCCAUUCAGUUUAAAAUAGGAAAUUGGGAGGGAGAGGCAGAUACAGGGAAGAGAAAAUAAAUGAAGUCACCCCCCCCACCCUGAAAAGAAGAAAAGGAGCGUACAUCCCCCCCCACCCAAGGAGGAAAAGGUCCGGUCCACACAGCGAAGGUUCACAGUGUCCAUCUGUGGAAGAGACCUUGUGGCUGUCCCGUGUCGCUGCACGUAAGCGCCUUAUAACCUACCGCGCUUGUCCCCCGAUGCCUGCCCCCCUUUCUGGCCUCAGUCUGUCUUUAACGGGUUUUGAGACCCUACAAGCUUUCCUUCCCUCUCCCUCCUCCCUGUGCUUCCUCCUCUGCUAAAAGUCCGGGACACGGGGGUGGGGAACAUCAGAGACCCUCGGCCAGGCCCAGACUCUCAGCCCUGCCCUGGGAGGAGGGGGAGCAGUGAGAGGCGAGGGGCCAAGGCAGGCCCCUCCUGCCGGGGCGGCGGGUGGGGGAUGAACCAGCCCCGGCCCCUUGAGGUGGUGGCCACAGCAGGCCGAGCUUCCUUCCUGCCAGGCCUCUGCCUUUCACUUCUGGAAGGCCACAAGCUCCAACAGACAGGCACCCAGGGAAUUUCCUCUGGCGAUUCCAGCACGUCCAGGCACGACCAAGGCAGGUCCCCGGAGGUCCAGGGUGUCGCACCCACAUCUGCUCCAGCUGGCUCACCCCUCCCCCCAACUCCACCAGCCCCUCCCCCGGGGCCCCCCCAGUACCCCCCUCCCCAGCCCCCCACCUCUGCCUGCCCUCCUAGCCUGCCCAGGCCGUGGCCCCAGGUCCUGCCAUUACAAACACAGGGCCCCGGCCAGCCAUGUUCUCCUCAACAUAAAUGUCAUUUGUUUUUUGUGAAGAUUUUGCCCCCCGCCCCCAGGGAACGUGAUCCUGAAUCGGACCCAGGACAGGGAUACAGGAAAACCCCCAGGAUGAGCUACCGUGCGGUGGGGACAUCGGGGCGGGGGCUGUGCUGUCGUGGCACCUGUUUUGGGUCUUUUGCAGAGCUGGCCCCUGCCCGGGUUUCAAGAGCUGCUUGUCAGAUCACAACAGAGGGAAUGUGGAAAUGGGGGGGCGGCGGGGAGGCGGGGCAAGGGAGUCUGGACAAACUGGCACAUACACGACAGAUGUUUGCUCAGAAAAAUACAGUAAAAUCAUCAUGCAAAUAUAACAGGGAAUCUGCUUUCUCACACCACUGGCUUCUCCGCCUGCCUGCUUUUCUGUUUUGCCAAUCCGGUGUGAGGAGGGGUUGGGGGGCAGGUUUUGGGGAGCUGGGGGAGGCCUGCUCUGCGCGUCCAUGCCCGCCUCCCCCCUCCACUCCCCAGGAGAACAGUCCUUUCUUUGCAAAUGUCACCCCCAAAGUGAGCCCCGGGCUUGGUCGGUCCCCCCAGUGGGUGUGAGAGAGGUGCUCGGUCGAGCCCUAAGGCCCCCUCACCCUCCGCUGCCACCCACCCCCAGAUCCUACCCUGGCAGGAAGGUCACUAGAGCCCCCCACUCAGGAACUGGCACUAGCUUUCCGGUCAGACUCCGCCCACAGUACAGGUCUUGGCCCCUUCCCGGCACCCACCCUCACCCCACAGUCACUCCCCAGAUCUCAAGAAACCCCACUUGGGCCAGUGACACAGGCCAGAGCGUGGGGAGAGCCGGGCGGGCUCCUCCCUCUCCUGAGGUGGUUGGGGCGCCAGGGGGCACCCUGGCAGGCAGGCGAAGCUACGGCUGUCUCCACCCCCUACAGGCCCAUCUCCCAUCCGCAGGUGGAAGGACCGCUGACUCUGGCCCCUCAACACCCUGACGGUGUUCAAGACCCCCCAGUCUCAGGACCCCAGAUCUGCCCUCUUAGAGCUCGCCCCCGGGAAGCCCCUUGUUCUGGAGAAAGGCAGCCACUGUGGUCUGGCCCUGCCCUCCCUUCAGCGCCCUCUGCCACCCACACUGAGAAACCCCAGGAGCCCAACGGUCCCAACUGCCAGGCUCUGGGUCGCUAUGGUGACAGAGGCCGGCCAGGGUGGGGGGAGGGCCCCCUCCAACCCAGCCUGCUCCUUCCCGGCGGGGGUGGGGGGGCUCACCGCCGUUUGUGCUUUGUUCGAUGUUGGGUGGGGGUCAGCAAGGGAGGAGUGGCCAUCUCCAUGGCAACGUGGGUGCCCCUCAGGCCAGAGGGUGGGGGUGGGGAUGGGCAGCCACGAAGGGGUGAGUGGAAAGCCCCCAAAAGCCCUCCUUGCUCCAGACAGGCUGAGGCGCUGCCCCAAGAGCCCAUGACAGGGGGUCAGGUAGGUGGGAGGCCAGGGUGUGGGGGCGGAGGCUGGAAGGGCCCCCCCAUGAGACCCCACCUCCCUGCUGCUCCCAGGCAUUAGCGUUCUCGGCUGCGCUUGUGGGACGAGGAGGGGUCCUGGAGGCCCAGAGAGG